Molecule: unclassified non-coding RNA, 226 nt
Filed under: Hevea brasiliensis (rubber tree)
Lineage: Eukaryota; Viridiplantae; Streptophyta; Magnoliopsida; Malpighiales; Euphorbiaceae
Source: RNAcentral
UUUGUUCCCAUCUGCAAGCCAUUUCUCUAUUGCACUUCGCUCAAACGUUUGUCCUGAAGAGGUCUCCACAGGGUCAACCAUAACAUCCCGAGUGAUUGGGCAAUAAAAUGAUUGGAGCGGUUCCAAUGUUAGACUACCCAAGGACUUCCGUUUUGUGAAAUACUUCAUCUCUUUCUCCUUAGGAGAAGAAGCUGCAUCUGCUCUUUCUAGUAAAGCAAUUAUCUGA